This 689-nucleotide ribosomal RNA is filed under the name uncultured bacterium. RNAcentral describes it as "bacterial SSU rRNA". It matches the Rfam family "Bacterial small subunit ribosomal RNA", at positions 32 to 715 of the family's 1533-position model. The record is from RNAcentral.
AACGCUAGCUACAGGCUUAACACAUGCAAGUCGAGGGGUAGCAGGAUCUAGCAAUAGAUUGCUGACGACCGGCGCACGGGUGAGUAACACGUAUCCAACCUUCCGUUUACUCGGGGAUAGCCUUUCGAAAGAAAGAUUAAUACCCGAUAGUAUGCUUUUCCCGCAUGGGGGAAUCAUUAAAGUUUUUCGGUAAUCGAUGGGGAUGCGUUCCAUUAGGCAGUUGGUGAGGUAACGGCUCACCAAACCUUCGAUGGAUAGGGGUUCUGAGAGGAAGGUCCCCCACAUUGGAACUGAGACACGGUCCAAACUCCUACGGGAGGCAGCAGUGAGGAAUAUUGGUCAAUGGAUGAGAAUCUGAACCAGCCAAGUAGCGUGAAGGAAGACGGCCCUAUGGGUUGUAAACUUCUUUUAUAAGGGAAUAAAGUGAUCUACGUGUAGAUUAUUGUAUGUACCUUAGGAAUAAGCAUCGGCUAACUCCGUGCCAGCAGCCGCGGUAAUACGGAGGAUGCGAGUGUUAUCCGGAUUUAUUGGGUUUAAAGGGUGCGUAGGCGGAAGAAAAAGUCAGUUGUGAAAGUUCGGUGCUCAACGCCGUAAUUGCAGUUGAAACUGUUCUUCUUGAGUGUACAUAAGGUAGGCGGAAUUCGUGGUGUAGCGGUGAAAUGCUUAGAUAUCACGAAGAACUCCGAUUG